Molecule: ribosomal RNA, 467 nt
Filed under: uncultured bacterium
Lineage: Bacteria
Description: partial 16S ribosomal RNA
Rfam family: Bacterial small subunit ribosomal RNA
Source: RNAcentral
GAUGAACGCUGGCGGCGUGCUUAACACAUGCAAGUCGAACGGAAAGGCUCCUGCUUGCAGGGGUACUCGAGUGGCGAACGGGUGAGUAACACGUGGGUGAUCUGCCCUGCACUUCGGGAUAAGCCUGGGAAACUGGGUCUAAUACCGGAUAGGACCACAUUUUGGAGGGUGUGGUGGAAAGUUUUUCGGUGUGGGAUGAGCUCGCGGCCUAUCAGCUUGUUGGUGGGGUAAUGGCCUACCAAGGCGUCGACGGGUAGCCGGCCUGAGAGGGUGUACGGCCACAUUGGGACUGAGAUACGGCCCAGACUCCUACGGGAGGCAGCAGUGGGGAAUCUUGCACAAUGGGCGCAAGCCUGAUGCAGCGACGCCGCGUGGGGGAUGACGGCCUUCGGGUUGUAAACUCCUUUCGCUAGGGACGAAGCGUUUUUGUGACGGUACCUGGAGAAGAAGCACCGGCUAACUACGUG